Molecule: ribosomal RNA, 467 nt
Filed under: uncultured bacterium
Lineage: Bacteria
Description: partial 16S ribosomal RNA
Rfam family: Bacterial small subunit ribosomal RNA
Source: RNAcentral
GAUGAACGCUGGCGGCGUGCUUAACACAUGCAAGUCGAACGAUGAAGCCCAGCUUGCUGGGUGGAUUAGUGGCGAACGGGUGAGUAACACGUGAGCAACCUGCCCCUGACUCUGGGAUAAGCGCUGGAAACGGCGUCUAAUACUGGAUAUGUCCCGUCACCGCAUGGUGUGCGGGUGGAAAGAUUUUUCGGUUGGGGAUGGGCUCGCGGCCUAUCAGCUUGUUGGUGAGGUAAUGGCUCACCAAGGCGUCGACGGGUAGCCGGCCUGAGAGGGUGACCGGCCACACUGGGACUGAGACACGGCCCAGACUCCUACGGGAGGCAGCAGUGGGGAAUAUUGAAAAAUGGGCGGAAGCCUGAUGCAGCAACGCCGCGUGAGGGAUGACGGCCUUCGGGUUGUAAACCUCUUUUAGCAGGGAAGAAGCGAAAGUGAAGGUACCUGCAGAAAAAGCACCGGCUAACUACGUG